RNAcentral lists this unclassified non-coding RNA (291 nucleotides) under Hevea brasiliensis (rubber tree). The record is from RNAcentral. Lineage: Eukaryota; Viridiplantae; Streptophyta; Magnoliopsida; Malpighiales; Euphorbiaceae.
CAAAAGCCUUGGUCAAGAAUGCUUGUAGGAGAAUUUGAACUUGAAUUAGAUUUUUGAAUUUGUUUUGCAUGAGAAUUGGAUUUUCCCAGAAAAGGAUGCUUCAGAAGCUGAUUGGCUCCACCUCUGUUUUGGAUCCCUUCUUAAACACUUAUCCAAGAAAUCCCUUGCUUGCUCUGAUAGACUACAGGGGAACUCCGGCAACUGUUCGGAAAAUCCAAUCCGGUACAUAACAGAAAUUGGGUCAUUGACGUUAGGCCACGGUGCACCACCACUAGCCAUUUCAAUAAUUGU